GGAGAUGUGGCUGAGUCCGGUUUAAGGCGCUCGACUGCUAAUCGAGUGGGUGUAAAAGCCCCGCAGGUUCAAAUCCUGUCAUCUCCGCCA
This 90-nucleotide transfer RNA is filed under the name Streptomyces phage BRock. RNAcentral describes it as "tRNA-Ser". It matches the Rfam family "tRNA". From Rfam's summary of the family: Transfer RNA (tRNA) molecules are approximately 80 nucleotides in length. Their secondary structure includes four short double-helical elements and three loops (D, anti-codon, and T loops). The record is from RNAcentral. Lineage: Duplodnaviria; Heunggongvirae; Uroviricota; Caudoviricetes.